GAUGAACGCUGGCGGCGUGCUUAACACAUGCAAGUCGAGCGGAAAGGCCGAAGCUUGCUUCGGUACUCGAGUGGCGAACGGGUGAGUAACACGUGGGUGAUCUGCCCUGUACUUCGGGAUAAGCUUGGGAAACUGGGUCUAAUACCGGAUAUGACGAUCUCUUGGAUGGGGUUGUGGAAAGCUUUUGCGGUAUGGGAUGAGCUCGCGGCCUAUCAGCUUGUUGGUGGGGUAAUGGCCUACCAAGGCGUCGACGGGUAGCCGGCCUGAGAGGGUGUACGGCCACAUUGGGACUGAGAUACGGCCCAGACUCCUACGGGAGGCAGCAGUGGGGAAUAUUGCACAAUGGGCGCAAGCCUGAUGCAGCGACGCCGCGUGGGGGAUGACGGCCUUCGGGUUGUAAACUCCUUUCGCAAUCGACGAAGCCUUUUGGUGACGGUAGGUUGAGAAGAAGCACCGGCUAACUACGUG
This 468-nucleotide ribosomal RNA is filed under the name uncultured bacterium. RNAcentral's name for it is "partial 16S ribosomal RNA". It matches the Rfam family "Bacterial small subunit ribosomal RNA", at positions 28 to 507 of the family's 1533-position model. The record is from RNAcentral.